Molecule: ribosomal RNA, 2961 nt
Filed under: Eucalyptus grandis
Lineage: Eukaryota; Viridiplantae; Streptophyta; Magnoliopsida; Myrtales; Myrtaceae
Description: eukaryotic LSU rRNA
Rfam family: Eukaryotic large subunit ribosomal RNA (bases 744-2961)
Source: RNAcentral
AUCGAUCCGAUCGGUGCAUGGAUCGGUCCCGGUCGAGCGGGAUCAAUCCCUGCACCAUGCGGAUCGAUCAUGGAUCGAUCGAGGCCGACCGACCAUGGUCCGAUUGCAACUUCACCGAUCAUUUCUUUUCCGAUUGAAUCCAUUCUUCUUCCUAAAUUUUGUUUGUGUCAUAAAAUAGCCUCCCCAAUGGUUUUCCCACGUCCCAAUUAUUAUUUUUCUAAUUUUCCGGAUUUUCUCAAUUUUUUAAAUACCAAAAUAUAUAUAUUUCCGGUUGUCAAAAAAAAAUUUCUAACUUUUCCAUAAUUUCGAUCACAUUUUUCUGAGCAUCUAUGCAAAAAAUCUCAUCAAAAUUCAUUUUCUACAAUUUUUUAGAGGGGUGGUGCCUACUCAAACAUGGUGAAUGUCUACUCCUACUGGGGGCAAAAAUGCUCCUAAGGCUCUUUAGGGGGGGUAGUGGUGCUCAGAGGCCACGAGCAGUUUUCGGGCAAUCGUUGCGCGAUGCAUGAGUCAUGUCAGGGGCACAGAAAUGAGUCGAGAAUGAGUCAUAAUAAAGUUCAAUGAUCCCCGAAAUAGGUUCAGGCCGAUCGAAAAAAGCGCCCCUAGACAAAGAUGGAUGCAUCGCGUGGCUCCCCUCAAGUAGGCAUCAUGCCCGAGCGCAUGGGUCGUUUUCGAGCCAAGCGGCCAUAAAGGAUGAAUCAAUGACUAAGUUACUUGGGAAUUGACGAAUCUAUGAGUCCCUUCGGUAAGACAAGAUCAUGCCUCGGGCAUGAAUGAACGAGCCAUGCACUGUAUCGAUCCACGACCUGAACAAGACAUUGGUGUUCUCGCGUCUAGGGUGGCAAACCUGUAAGGCUUAAGGAAUCUGAUUGGUGGGAUCCCUUUUGGGUGCACCGCCAACCGACCUUGAUCUUCUGAGAAGGGUUCAAGUGAGAGCAUGCCUGUCAAGACCCAAAAGAUGGUGAACUAUGCCUGAGCGGGGCAAAGCUAGAGGAAACUCUGGUGGAGGCCCGCAGCGAUAUUGACGUGCAAAUCGUUCGUCUGACUUUGGUAUAGGGGCAAAAGACUAAUCGAACCGUCUAGUAGCUGGUUCCCUCCGAAGUUUUCCUCAGGAUAGCUCGAUCUCAAGAACGAGUUCUAUCGAGUAAAGCCAAUGAUUAGAGGCAUCGGGGGCGUCUGAUAGCGCCUCGUGCGCGAGCUUCGAAAGGGAAUCGGGUUAAAAUUCCUGAACCAGGACGUGGCGGCUGACGGCAACGUUAGGGAGUCCGGAGACGUCAGCGGGGGCCUCGGGAAGAGUUAUCUUUUCUGUUUAACAGCCUGCCCACCUUGGAAACGGCUCAGCCGGAGGUAGGGUCCAGCGGCUGGAAGAGCACCGCACGUCGCGUGGUCUCCGGUGCGCCCCCGGCGGCCCUUGAAAAUCUAGAGGACCGAGUGCCGUCCAUGCCCAGUCGUACUCAUAACCACAUCAAGUCUCCAAGGUGAACAGCCUCUGGUCAAUGGAACAAUGUAGGCAAGGGAAGUUGGCAAAAUGGAUCCGUAACCUCGGGAAAAGGAUUGGCUCUGAGGACUGGGCACGGGGGUCCUAAUCCCGAACCUGUCGGCUGUCAGUGGACUGCUCGAGCUGCUCUCGCGGCAAGAGCGGGUCGCCGCGUGCCGGCCGAGGGACGGAUUAGGAACAGCUCCUUCGGGGGCCUUCCUCGAGCGUCGAACAAUCAACUCAGAAUCGGUACGGACAAGGGGAAUCCGAUUGUUUAAUUGAAACAAAGCAUUGCGAUGGUCCCUGUGGAUGCUCACGCAAUGUGAUUUCUACCCAGUGCUCUGAAUGUCAAAGUGAAGAAAUUCAACCGAGCGCGGGUAAAUGGCGGGAGUAACUAUGACUCUCUUAAGGUAGCCAAACGCCUCGUCAUCUAAUUAGUGACGCGCAUGAAUGGAUUAACGAGAUUCCCACUGUCCCUAUCUACUAUCCAGCAAAACCACAGCCAAGGGAACGGGCUUGGCAGAAUCAGCGGGGAAAGAAGACCCUGUUGAGCUUGACUCUAGUCCGACUUUGUGAAAUGACUUGAGAGGUGUAGGAUAAAUGGGAGCCGGAAACGGUGAAAGUGAAAUACCACUACUUUUAACGUUAUUUUACUUAUUCCGUGAAACGGAGGCGGGGCAAUGCCCCUUCUUUUAGAACUAAGGUCCGCACAUGCGGGCCGAUCCGAGCAGAAGACAUUGUCAAGUGGGGAGUUUGGCUGGGGUGGCACAUCUGUUAAAAGAUAACGCAGGUGUCCUAAGAUGAGCUCAUCGAGAACAGAAAUCUCGUGUAGAACAAAAGGGUAAAAGCUCGUUUGAUUCUAAUUUCUAGUACAAAUACGAACUGUGAAAGCGUGGCCUAUCGAUCCUUUAGAUCUUCGGAAUUUAAAGCUAGAGGUGUCAGAAAAGUUACCACAAGGAUAACUGGCUUGUGGCAGCCAAGCGUUCAUAGCGACAUUACUUUUUGAUCCUUCGAUGUCGGCUCUUCCUAUCAUUGUGAAGCAGAAUUCACCAAGUGUUGGAUUGUUCACUCACCAAUAGGGAAUGUGAGCUGGGUUUAGACCGUCGUGAGACAGGUUAGUUUUACCCUACUGAUGAUAGUGUCACAAUAGUAAUUCAACCUAGUACGAGAGGAAUCGUUGAUUCGCACAAUUAGUCAUCGCACUUGGUUGAAAAGCCAGUGGCGCGAAGCUACCGUGCGCUGGAUUAUGAUUAAACGCCUCUAAGUCAGAAUUCGGGCUAGAAGUGAUGCAUAAGCUCGCCGCUCGAUUGCCGACCUGCAAUUGGGGACUUGUUCCCCCAAGGGCACGUGUCGUUGGUGAAUCUCUCGCGGUGGAUGAACCGCAUGGGCCGCCUUGAAGCACAAUUCCUAUUAAGCGAUGAGUACUGGUAGCAGCAACUAUGACGGCGGCGAUAGUGGCGGUGGCUUGAUUAUGGGCCUACUACCUC